This 253-nucleotide ribosomal RNA is filed under the name uncultured bacterium. Its description in RNAcentral is "partial 16S ribosomal RNA". It matches the Rfam family "Bacterial small subunit ribosomal RNA", at positions 524 to 776 of the family's 1533-position model. The record is from RNAcentral.
UACGUAGGGCGCAAGCGUUGUCCGGAAUUAUUGGGCGGAAAGAGCUCGUAGGUGGCGUGUCGCGUCUGCCGUGAAAGCCCAUGGCUUAACUGUGGGUCUGCGGUGGAUACGGGCAGGCUGGAGGCUGGUAGGGGCAAGCGGAAUUCCUGGUGUAGCGGUGAAAUGCGCAGAUAUCAGGAGGAACACCGGUGGCGAAGGCGGCUUGCUGGGCCAGUUCUGACGCUGAGGAGCGAAAGCGUGGGGAGCGAACAGG